RNAcentral lists this ribosomal RNA (601 nucleotides) under uncultured organism. RNAcentral describes it as "bacterial SSU rRNA". It matches the Rfam family "Bacterial small subunit ribosomal RNA", at positions 202 to 817 of the family's 1533-position model. The record is from RNAcentral.
AAAGGUUCAAUCCGCUGAAAGAUAAAUCUGUUUAAGAUUAGGUUGUUGGUAAUUUAAAAGCUUACCAAGCCAAUGAUCUUUAGUUGGUCUGAGAGGAUGAUCAACCACACUGGAACUGAAACAAGGUCCAGGCUAAUACGUUGGCCAGCAGUGGGGGAUAUUGGACAAUGAACGAAAGUUUGAUCCAGCAAUACUAACUGGGUGACGACGGCUUAUUUAAGUUGUAAGAUCCUUUAAUUGAAGAAGAUAAUGACACUAUUUAAUUGAAUUAGUCCUGGCUAAUACUCGUGCCAGCAGCCGCGGUAAUACGGGAAGGGCAAGCGUUAUCCGGCAUGACUGGGCGUAAAGAGUCCGUAGACUGUAAAAUAAGUUUUUUGUUAAAUUUUAAGACCUAAUCUUAACAUAGCAACUAAUACUAUUUUACUGUGAGUCUAAUACAGAAAAGUAGAAUUUUAUACGAAAGAGGUGAAAUUUGCAGAUAUAUAAAGGAAUGCCAAAAGCGAAGGCAACUUUUUAGUAUAGACUGACGUUGAGGGACGAAAGCGUGGGUAGCAAACGGGAUUAGAGACCCCGGUAGUCCACGCCGUAAAUUCUGAGUGCU